GAUGAACGCUGGCGGCGUGCCUAAUACAUGCAAGUCGAGCGAACGGACGAGAAGCUUGCUUCUCUGAUGUUAGCGGCGGACGGGUGAGUAACACGUGGAGAACCUACCUAUAAGACUGGGAUAACUUCGGGAAACCGGAGCUAAUACCGGAUAAUAUUUUGAACCGCAUGGUUCAAAAGUGAAAGACGGUCUUGCUGUCACUUAUAGAUGAAUCCGCGCUGCAUUAGCUAGUUGGUAAGGUAACGGCUUACCAAGGCAACGAUGCAUAGCCGACCUGAGAGGGUGCUCGGCCACACUGGAACUGAGACACGGUCCAGACUCCUACGGGAGGCAGCAGUAGGGAAUCUUCCGCAAUGGGCGAAAGCCUGACGGAGCAACGCCGCGUGAGUGAUGAAGGUCUUCGGAUCGUAAAACUCUGUUAUUAGGGAAGAACAUAUGUGUAAGUAACUGUGCACAUCUUGACGGUACCUAAUCAGAAAGCCACGGCUAACUACGUG
Molecule: ribosomal RNA, 497 nt
Filed under: uncultured bacterium
Lineage: Bacteria
Description: partial 16S ribosomal RNA
Rfam family: Bacterial small subunit ribosomal RNA
Source: RNAcentral